AGCGAACGCUGGCGGCAGGCUUAACACAUGCAAGUCGAGCGGACCUUUCGGGGUCAGCGGCGGACGGGUGAGUAACGCGUGGGAACGUGCCUUCCGGUUCGGAAUAAUCCAGGGAAACUAGGGCUAAUACCGGAUACGCCCUUAUGGGGAAAGGUUUACUGCCGGAAGAUCGGCCCGGGUCUGAUUAGCUAGUUGGUGGGGGAACGGCCGACCAAGGCGACGAUCAGUAGCUGGUCUGGGAGGCUGGUCAGCCACACUGGGACUGCGACACGGCCCAGACUCCUACGCGAAGGAGCAGUGGGGAAUAUUAGACAAUGGGCGCAAGCCUGAUCCAGCCAUGCCGGGUAAGUGAUGAAGGCCGUAGGGUUGUAAAGCUCUUUUAUCCGGGACGAUAAUGACGGUACCGGAGGAAUAAGCCCCGGCUAACUUCGUG
This 433-nucleotide ribosomal RNA is filed under the name uncultured bacterium. RNAcentral describes it as "partial 16S ribosomal RNA". It matches the Rfam family "Bacterial small subunit ribosomal RNA", at positions 29 to 507 of the family's 1533-position model. The record is from RNAcentral.